CUAACACUAAAAGUUCAAAUGUUCUCUCCGUUCAAAGUUCAAAAUGUCCGUUAGAUGUUCUUCAGUUCCAUAUGUUGUAUAGUUCCAUCUGUUUCAUACACACAAUAUAGUUCCACAAUUCGUCGUUGUUGUCCGCCGUCGCCAUUGCCAUCUUGGCUGUCGUCAUCGUCCAUCGUCUCCGUGGGGACGAGUUGCUUUUCCGUCGUUAAAAGGUUACCUCGUUUGUUUUCUCGUUCCUUUCUAAUAACAAAUUAUUGACUUCUGCUUCUAAUCUCUCUUUCUCUCUGAAUCUUUCUUCUCAUACGAAACUGGUUGUAUUUAUAGCAUUGAUCAUUUAAACGAACGAGGAACAACUGGGAGAUCUUUUCCCACAGUAGUUCCCGGUCCUCCAUGAUUAAGGGCGCUAUACGCGCUCCGACCAGACUACCUAUAC
RNAcentral lists this long non-coding RNA (433 nucleotides) under Androctonus crassicauda. The record is from RNAcentral. Lineage: Eukaryota; Metazoa; Arthropoda; Arachnida; Scorpiones; Buthidae.